UCCAGCUUAUUGCUGGCAGUUUUCCUAGAGUUCCCGGCAUUACCCGCUGGCAACUAAGAAUGAGGGUUGCGCUCGUUGCGGGACUUAACCCAACAUCUCACGACACGAGCUGACGACAGCCAUGCAACACCUGUGUGUGGUCCGGCCGAACCGAAGGAAUCCAUCUCUGGAUCCCGCGACCACCAUGUCAAAAGUUGGUAAGGUUUUUCGCGUAGCAUCGAAUUAAACCGCAUGCUCCACCGCUUGUGCGGGCCCCCGUCAAUUCCGUUUGAGUUUUAAUCUUGCGACCUUACUCCCCAGGCGGAGUGCUUAAUGUGUUAACUGCGACACCGAAAAUAAAUCCCGAUAUCUAGCACUCAUCGUUUACAGCGUGGACUAC
This 379-nucleotide unclassified non-coding RNA is filed under the name uncultured Pseudomonadota bacterium. RNAcentral describes it as "uncultured proteobacterium contains 16S-23S intergenic spacer region". Lineage: Bacteria; Pseudomonadati; Pseudomonadota. The record is from RNAcentral.